GGACAGGUGGCCGAGUGGCUGAAGGCGCACGCUUGGAAAGCGUGUGGACGGGAGACCGUCUCGUGGGUUCGAAUCCCACCCUGUCCGCCA
This 90-nucleotide transfer RNA is filed under the name Alphaproteobacteria bacterium 62-8. Its description in RNAcentral is "tRNA-Ser". It matches the Rfam family "tRNA". Rfam says of the family: Transfer RNA (tRNA) molecules are approximately 80 nucleotides in length. Lineage: Bacteria; Pseudomonadati; Pseudomonadota; Alphaproteobacteria. RNAcentral also lists the same sequence under 3 other names. The record is from RNAcentral.